Molecule: ribosomal RNA, 935 nt
Filed under: Escherichia coli
Lineage: Bacteria; Pseudomonadati; Pseudomonadota; Gammaproteobacteria; Enterobacterales; Enterobacteriaceae
Description: bacterial SSU rRNA
Rfam family: Bacterial small subunit ribosomal RNA
Source: RNAcentral
UCCGGCAGCUACCAUGCAGUCGACGGUAACAGRAAGCAGCUUGCUKCUUYGCUGACGAGUGGCGGACGGGUGAGUAAUGUCUGGGAAACUGCCUGAUGGAGGGGGAUAACUACUGGAAACGGUAGCUAAUACCGCAUAACGUCGCAAGACCAAAGAGGGGGACCUUCGGGCCUCUUGCCAUCGGAUGUGCCCAGAUGGGAUUAGCUWGUWGGUGGGGUAACGGCUCACCWAGGCGACGAUCCCUAGCUGGUCUGAGAGGAUGACCAGCCACACUGGAACUGAGACACGGUCCAGACUCCUACGGGAGGCAGCAGUGGGGAAUAUUGCACAAUGGGCGCAAGCCUGAUGCAGCCAUGCCGCGUGUAUGAAGAAGGCCUUCGGGUUGUAAAGUACUUUCAGCGGGGAGGAAGGGAGUAAAGUUAAUACCUUUGCUCAUUGACGUUACCCGCAGAAGAAGCACCGGCUAACUCCGUGCCAGCAGCCGCGGUAAUACGGAGGGUGCAAGCGUUAAUCGGAAUUACUGGGCGUAAAGCGCACGCAGGCGGUUUGUUAAGUCAGAUGUGAAAUCCCCGGGCUCAACCUGGGAACUGCAUCUGAUACUGGCAAGCUUGAGUCUCGUAGAGGGGGGUAGAAUUCCAGGUGUAGCGGUGAAAUGCGUAGAGAUCUGGAGGAAUACCGGUGGCGAAAGCGGCCCCCUGGACGAAGACUGACGCUCAGUGCGAAAGCGUGGGGAGCAAACAGGAUUAGAUACCCUGCUAGUCCACGCCGUAAACGAUGUCGACUUGGAGGUUGUGCCCUUGAGCGUGCUUCCGGAGCUAACGCGUUAAGUCGACGCUGGGGAGUACGCCGCAGUUAAACUCAAUGAGUGACGGGGGCCGCACAGCGUGAGCAUGUGUUUAUCGAUGCAACGCGAAAACCCUUACCUGCUCUUGGAC